GGCAGAGUGGGUCGAGCGCUGGACUACGACUCUGGGGACCAGGGUUCGAAUCCCAGCUCGGCCA
This is a non-coding RNA of Phrynosoma platyrhinos (Desert horned lizard), 64 nucleotides long. Lineage: Eukaryota; Metazoa; Chordata; Lepidosauria; Squamata; Phrynosomatidae. The record is from the annotation of a GenBank genome assembly.